AUUGAACGCUGGCGGAAUGCUUUACACAUGCAAGUCGAACGGCAGCACGGGGCAACCUGGUGGCGAGUGGCGAACGGGUGAGUAAUAUAUCGGAACGUGCCCAAUCGUGGGGAUAACGUAGCGAAAGUUACGCUAAUACCGCAUACGAUCUACGGAUGAAAGCGGGGGAUCGCAAGACCUCGCGCGAAUGGAGCGGCCGAUAUCAGAUUAGGUAGUUGGUGGGGUAAAGGCUCACCAAGCCAACGAUCUGUAGCUGGUCUGAGAGGACGACCAGCCACACUGGAACUGAGACACGGUCCAGACUCCUACGGGAGGCAGCAGUGGGGAAUUUUGGACAAUGGGCGCAAGCCUGGUCCAGCCAUUCCGCGUGCAGGAUGAAGGCCUCGGUUGUAAACUGCUUUGUACGGUAACGAAACGGUACUGCCCUAAUACGGCAGGC
Molecule: ribosomal RNA, 439 nt
Filed under: uncultured bacterium
Lineage: Bacteria
Description: bacterial SSU rRNA
Rfam family: Bacterial small subunit ribosomal RNA
Source: RNAcentral